This 224-nucleotide ribosomal RNA is filed under the name Salmonella enterica subsp. enterica serovar Agona. Its description in RNAcentral is "partial 23S ribosomal RNA". It matches the Rfam family "Bacterial large subunit ribosomal RNA", at positions 1120 to 1342 of the family's 2925-position model. The record is from RNAcentral. Lineage: Bacteria; Pseudomonadati; Pseudomonadota; Gammaproteobacteria; Enterobacterales; Enterobacteriaceae. RNAcentral also lists the same sequence under 1 other name.
CAUUUAAAGAAAGCGUAAUAGCUCACUGGUCGAGUCGGCCUGCGCGGAAGAUGUAACGGGGCUAAACCAUGCACCGAAGCUGCGGCAGCGACACUCAGGUGUUGUUGGGUAGGGGAGCGUUCUGUAAGCCUGUGAAGGUGGCCUGUGAGGGUUGCUGGAGGUAUCAGAAGUGCGAAUGCUGACAUAAGUAACGAUAAAGCGGGUGAAAAGCCCGCUCGCCGGAA